RNAcentral lists this ribosomal RNA (265 nucleotides) under uncultured bacterium. RNAcentral describes it as "partial 16S ribosomal RNA". It matches the Rfam family "Bacterial small subunit ribosomal RNA", at positions 92 to 354 of the family's 1533-position model. The record is from RNAcentral.
CGACCGGCGCGACGGGUGAGUAACGCGUAUGCAACUUACCUAUCAGGAGGGGGAUAACCCGGCGAAAGUCGGACUAAUACCGCAUGAAGCAGGGGCCCCGCAUGGGGAUAUUUGCUAAAGAUUCAUCGCUGAUAGAUAGGCAUGCGUUCCAUUAGGCAGUUGGCGGGGUAACGGCCCACCAAACCGACGAUGGAUAGGGGUUCUGAGAGGAAGGUCCCCCACAUUGGUACUGAGACACGGACCAAACUCCUACGGGAGGCAGCAG